ACCAAAAACAUAGCUAAGAAAAAAACUCAAAGUGAAACCUGCCCAGUGAUUUUAAAUAAAAUAUUAAAUUAAUUUAAAUAAAACUAAACGGACGCAGUAUAUUGACUGUGAUAAUGUAGCAUAAUCAUUCGCCAUUUAAUUGAUGGAUAGUAUGAACGGUUUAACGAAUAUUUAACUGUCUUAAAAAGAAACCCAAUAAAAUUUGAAUAAUAGUUAAGAUACUAUUUAAAAUUGUUAGACGAAAAGACCCUAUAGAGCUUAACUAAUUUCUUUUUAUUUAAAACAAGUAUAUACUUUAUAACUAGAAAGAUAGUUAGUUUAGUUGGGGUGACUACCUUCUAUUAAUAACAAAGGUAAACAAUAUUAAUAGACUAAUUUAUUGUAUAAUUUAUUAAUUUAACAAUUACCAUGGUAGGUUAUAAUGACCCGUUACUUAAACAAAAACUUAAUAACGAUACAUAAAUAAAAGCUACCUUAGGGAUAACAGAAUAAUUUUAAUUACAAGACCAUAUUUAAAUUAAAGUUUAUUACCUCGAUGUUG
RNAcentral lists this ribosomal RNA (541 nucleotides) under Nectopyramis sp. AGC-2001. Its description in RNAcentral is "partial 16S ribosomal RNA". It matches the Rfam family "Bacterial large subunit ribosomal RNA", at positions 1806 to 2534 of the family's 2925-position model. Lineage: Eukaryota; Metazoa; Cnidaria; Hydrozoa; Siphonophorae; Prayidae. The record is from RNAcentral.